Long non-coding RNA from Drosophila montana, 526 nucleotides. RefSeq lists it as uncharacterized. The transcript is spliced from 3 exons. The record is from RefSeq and is a predicted model, not a curated record. Lineage: Eukaryota; Metazoa; Arthropoda; Insecta; Diptera; Drosophilidae.
GAAAUCCGAAAUUGAUAUGCUUGAAUAAGCAGAUGGACGAUUACAUAGAUAUAAAAUGGGUACACAUGUAAAUUUCGUAUCAGCUACAGGGUAUAUAUAUACAUAUACAAGUAGUUAUGCUCAUGCUUGUACGAGUGAUGUCUGCACUUUAAAGUUGCCAUACAUAAGUGUUUGUAAUACGCUCGUUACAUUUAUUAUGGAGUGCGCUGCUCGACUGCCGAACAAUGCAGCUUUCGCCCGUUAGUUGUCUGGGUGGUAAAUAUAAGGAUCACAGUUUUGGCCAGUAACUGCGCAGACUUUGCAGCUGGCAUUUGAAUGGGGGGCGCACAUGACAUUCGACACAAUUCCCCGGCGCAGAGCACGUUGCCCAUAGCAGACUUAUCCGGGCAGCAGCAGCAGCACCAACAGAAGCCGGUGGCAACUAUCUGUAACUGGAGGCGGGCUGCAGUUUAAUAGUCUGUGCAACAAUGUGCAUGGCGCUUGCUUGCGGUCCUGAACACAGGAGCAAAUUCAAAAGGAGGGGCCC